UGGGAGCUUGAAAUAUAGAAUCCCAGGCUCCCCUCAGACUUAGCAAAAUAAGCAUUUUAACAAGAUGUUCAGGUGUUUGGCCUGACCCUUAAGUCUGAGAGGCAUUGCUUUAGACUGCAGUAUAUUAUAAGCACUUGAGGGCCGCCAAGGAAAACUACUGGGAAAAUGGAUGUAGAGAGGAUUCCUAAAUAAAAGUAUUACUUCUCUGCCCAUAUCAAAUGGAACAAACGGAACAGUAUGCCAGUUUAUCUCACAAUCUCUGUGGAGGAGUAAGAUCAAUUGUUGAAAUGCAGUCUGAAAGAUCCACGAGAAUGGCAUUUUAUCAUUGCAUCAAAUCUUGUGUUUGACCUCAGAGGCCCCGGUAGUGAGUUCAAGUGAAAAGCCAGAUUGGGAGGGCUGCUCGCGCUGCCCCGACCUGGCAGUGUCUCUGGAUCUCAGCAAGUGUCACUAAGGAGGUGAGCAGAAGAACACGUCUCGCAGGCUGGUCUGUGAAGUGGGGCAAGAUACCAAUUUUACUACCCAUCACAAAUCACUUGCUUCUGUCAACACAAUGCUGCCUGCGGUCCUGCUCUGUGUCUCCACCUUCUUGUUUGCCGGGAAAGAGAUUCCAGCUGGGGCCAUUGACGCAAUGCAGUGCCUUUGAUUUCUACUCCAGGGUCUUAGGGCAGGCGUGUUUGCUGCGCAGUAAACAGAGUUUUUCGGGUCAUCGUCAUCUUUUCCAGUACUGCAAGACAGACUGAUUUCAGCACCAACAAGCAAAGAUUGUUUCCUUGUUAUUAUCCUCCCACCCCCCACCUCUCAAAGUUCCAUGAAGUUGACCAAUUCAGGCCAAGCCAUGAGGAUGUUUUAGGUCAGGAUAAUUCACGCUUUCUUAAUGCCAGGGAACUCGGGGAGCUUUGUGUAGGGUGCUUUGGAAGAGCCUGCUUUCUGUUUGUGCCUUUUCAAGAAAUGGUGCACCCGCUCUUAAUCCAACACGAAAGGGAAGGUUCUCUGUGCCAGCAAUCCCACAUGAGAGAUGGAAUCCUAUUCAAUAAACCUGGGGGCAGCCUUUUUUCUGAAAGCUUGAAGAAAGAACAAAAUCACCUAAAAUCACAUUCCUGGCCAUCUCCCUCAAACUCAUGGCUCUCAUUAGUCUAGAUACACACACGCAAAGAUGCUUCUCUGGCUCAUCUGGGAUGGCUUCCAGGUGGUGGUGAUGAGUGUUAGAUGUAUGGCAAGUUCUACAGCUGACUAGGCAGACAGCAGUUUCGAAAAAAUGAGGUUUUCAGCUUCUUCUGCCUUCGUUAGUGGGCCCCUUCGACCUCUACCCCUGGCGAGAAUUCAACAGAGACAAGCACUCGGCCAAGAAAUUAAGCUGGAUCAAACUUCUGAAUAGUGUCCAAAACACAAUAUCGGUGCUUCUUCCAUCCCAAGGAACGACCAGAAUAACCCCCGAAGUUUACUUCCCUCAGCAGCACAAGCAUGACAGGGAACAUGGGGG
Long non-coding RNA from Talpa occidentalis (Iberian mole), 1480 nucleotides. RefSeq lists it as uncharacterized. The record is from RefSeq and is a predicted model, not a curated record. The transcript is spliced from 3 exons. Lineage: Eukaryota; Metazoa; Chordata; Mammalia; Eulipotyphla; Talpidae.